This 20-nucleotide transfer RNA is filed under the name Aplocheilus lineatus (striped panchax). Its description in RNAcentral is "partial tRNA-Glu". The record is from RNAcentral. Lineage: Eukaryota; Metazoa; Chordata; Actinopteri; Cyprinodontiformes; Aplocheilidae.
UAGGUUUUUGUAGUUGAAUA